Molecule: ribosomal RNA, 213 nt
Filed under: Ascomycota sp.
Lineage: Eukaryota; Fungi; Ascomycota
Description: partial large subunit ribosomal RNA
Source: RNAcentral
AAGCGUUUGGCAUCAGCCCAUGGCGUUGGUCGAUCAACCGGGCUUCUGUCCGGUGCACUUGGCCAGCGCUGGGCCAGCGUCGACUCUGCCCCCUGGAGAAAGGCCUCGGGGAUGUGGCUCUCUUCGGGGAGCGUUAUAACCCUUGGCGUCAUACGGGGGGUGGGGUCGAGGUCCGCGGUCUAACCUAGGACGCUGGCGUAAUGGUUCCAAGCG